CCCUUAGAUGUUCUGGGCCACACGCGCGCUACACUGAUACGUUCAGCGAGUAUAUAACCUUGAUUGGAAAAUCUGGGUAAUCUUUUGAAUGCGUAUCGUGCUAGGGAUAGAUUAUUGCAAUUAUUAAUCUUGAACGAGGAAUUCCUAGUAAACGCAAGUCAUCAGCUUGCAUUGAUUACGUCCCUGCCCUUUGUACACACCGCCUGUCGCACAAACCGAUUGAAUGAUUCGGUGAAAAUUUUGGACAUCGAGAGUGGUGAUUAAUUUCGCUGCUCUUAAAUGGAAAGAAUUUAAACCUAAUUAUUUAGAGGAUUGUGAAGUCAUAACA
This 328-nucleotide ribosomal RNA is filed under the name uncultured eukaryote. Its description in RNAcentral is "partial 18S ribosomal RNA". It matches the Rfam family "Eukaryotic small subunit ribosomal RNA", at positions 1470 to 1796 of the family's 1831-position model. The record is from RNAcentral.